GGGGUUGGGGGGAGGGGAGAGGGGAGGUGCUCGCCCAGUCUCUCGGACGUCCGCAACUCGGUUUUUCGGUGACGGCUCUCUCUAUCUCAGCUCCCCCGCUCUCUGCAGGGUGCGGUGCAGCGGCGUGGCGCGCGCGCGAGGGCAGGUUUGGGGCGAGGUCGGGGCGGGGCGCGCUAGGCUUUGGGGGUAAUAGAUUAAGAAGCGGCCUAGCCCGGCCGUCUAGAGCGGUAACGGGUAAACAGGACGAGGCGGGAGCAGGAGACGAGGAGGACGACGGUCACGGCCGCCACCAGCACGUCAUGACAAGCCAACCAGCGGCCCCUCCGAGCGGCCCCGGCCUCCCUACACCGCCGACUUCUAGCGCCUCCCGCCCCGGCUGGGCACCGACGCGUGGUUCUUGCGCGUGCAGCCGGCGGUCCAGACCCUCAAGCUGCGGCGGCGGCUGCUGGGGCUGCGGGAGCGGCGGCAGCUGCGGCGCGCGGCCCUCAAGCGGCGCGCGGCGGUGGUCGAGUUCGUGUCGCGGCUGGAGGGGUACGCGUAGGUCGAACGUUUUCUUUUAGGUGAAUUCAACCUAGAAGGACGAUAGUUCGACCCCCUCUUACUUCUACAGUGCCUCCUUCGACACAGCUGGUGAAACUCUUCCCGCGAGUCGUGAAAAAGAUGAGAGGUCCGUGUGCUACCUGUGACCGGACCCCUAAUACCCCCAGGAUACAAGGAAUACGGUCCUAACGAAUAUUACGAUGUACAAUGACCUCGUGACUUGUGACAAAAUAGUAGUCUUGUAGUUUUCCUCUAGGCAGCUAUAGAGAUAUUAGUAGUCUUACUUCUACCUCCAACCCCUAAUGUGUAACUCCCAGGUUCGUGGUACAAACCGAGUCGGAACUGGAUACAAAGAAACUCUAACGAACCACUCCCUGGUCUAUCACCUCUACCUCGAUACCUCUUUCCAGCUUUGACCUAAAAUCUGGUACCCCCUCGUUGAAUAUAUUGUAGUACCCCUUUCAAAACCGAGCGCCAUGAACCACAUAAACUAACCAGACCAUUGUUAGGUGACGGUGGCCUUUGUACCUACAACGGCAUAACGGACGGUCAGGUGGGUCCAGCUUACACCACAGUGACGUCUUACCACAUAGAUGGGUACACGAUGCAAAUACCUUUCUCCAAACAGCCGGCUUAAUGUGGUUAAUAUAACCUUGAUUCUUUACUUGAGAAGUUUCAGGGGAUGUCGCUCCAACUAACCCUGUCACGAGCGUUAGAGACACGAUUCCUUCUAGACAUGAUGGGUGUAGGUGAGUAUGUUCUAUAGAAUACCCGGUGAGAGGUAUUUAAACAACUUGGACAAUACUACGUGACCGGACCCUUGUUUGACUCUCUCUUUAGAAACUUGGUACAGUACGUCGUACAAGUAAUACUUCUACUCUUGUGAGCUAUGUAAACGUAACCAGGACACUUGUUCCAUAAUUUAUACGAACGAACGACCUAACUUCUAGGUUUGAGUCUUCGUAAGUUCGAUGUGUAAGGUUCUUAUAUACUAAUGAAUACCCAACGACUUCUACCGUACUUCUACGUCCCAAUAUUACCGUCGGUCGAGACCCUGUGUCGAAAACGUCAAGUUCGAUAACGCCGGUGACUGGAGUAACUUCUCAAACGAGGGUGAGAAUUCGACCGUGUACUAAAAUAAUUCUUGAGAGUCCAACAACUACUGACGGGACCUCUAGACUCAAUGACCAUGGCAGUGUAUAGAUUUCCACGUACCGGGAAAAGAUGUCGACUAGUACCAACCGGAUAUAGUCUAACGUGACGUCUUCCUGAUUUCCGGAGUAAUAACGAUAGUUUCUAAAGAGGUCUUUAACACCCGCUUAGCCACCUUCAAUUGUCUGAUAUACUACGACAGUUAACAAACUACAGAACCUACUUACUUUUACCACCGAAGCGUUGUAUACUUGAGGUUUCCAGAAUACGGACCGAACUCGAAUAGUUGGGACGGCUCUGUAAGCCUCUAUAACACUAACUAAUGGGCAUACACCUUACAUGGAGUCGGCGUUAAGUCCGGGACUGUAGUAAAUUUUUCGAGAUAGGACCCGUGGCGUCCUUUCUACAUCUAUUGACAUAGUUGUUUCGACGAUCAAUGUAACUCUCGUAGGUUUCUUUUCUACCAAGUACCAUACCGAGAACCCGACACACGAAGUGGAUACCGUGUACCAAGCCUCACUUCCCCGAUGAUCGACGUCCAUCUUGGAAGUUCUCGUCAGGACGUUAGUCUUUCCGUACACUGAAAGACUACAGUUUUCUCGAAGGAAAGCCACCGACCCCUCUUUCGAUAGACAGUAGAGUUCUAGUCCAAAUGUGGUUAGAACUUCCCUUCGUAUGAGUACGACAGUUGUGACCGACCCGGUACGACUGAGAUUAACUGCGUCCUGUCCGACUCUCUCUGGGCUGCGGAGACGUAGCUCGUCGCUUCCAAAACUAUUUGAAUGUUAGUCUCCUACCCCUUAAAGGAGUCGUUCUCUAGUACCCUCAGAAGUUGUUCUUGACGUACUAGUCGAUGAGGGUCAUAGCCUUGUAGAAGGGAUAGACCCGCGAACCGCUCAUGGCGACGGCCCACGACCCGCGCCGGUUCUUCAUCAUGGCAGAAGGAAGAGAAACCGGCCCAAUGCACGACCUUGUCACACAAAGACAUUAUUACAACGAUCCACGUCCCGGACAAACCAACCUAUGGACUUGUGGCACGGACCUCUUUACCUGACGGACCUAACUCGGACUCUUCUAACUUUUAUAACGGACCGCUCCGAUGCACGCAAACCAACUACAGGAGCCUGACUACUACACGUAGGCGACACGCAGUCUCAUGCAUAUUUAGUAAAUUUAUGUCGGUCCGAUGACGACAUCCUUAUUCCUUAUCCUUCGUACCCCGUCCGAUUCGUGGGACGCCCACGCCUUCAGGGAAAGAUGAGGUUUCGAGUAUACUCGAACCUUACUUGUCAUUUAAGGCCUUUUUUAUCAUCUUUCAAGACUUUUAAGACUUAAAAAUCCCACGUUUGAAACUGUUUACAAGAGUCACGAACUUUUAAAAGAAGAACUUUGUUGUAAGCACCUUCAGUACUGUUUUCUUUGUUUUAGUCGUGAGGUUCUUACGAAAACUUGUGUAGUAAAAACCUCGUAGCCAAAACUAAAAAAAUAGUACUGAAAUACUUUACAGUAAAAUACGAUUAAAAAACGUUCGUGUAAACAGUUUCAAACGUUGGUUUUUUCUAGUUAAAGAAAAUAUUGAAAUAUGUAAAA
RNAcentral lists this ribosomal RNA (3282 nucleotides) under Triticum aestivum (bread wheat). Its description in RNAcentral is "partial small subunit ribosomal RNA". Lineage: Eukaryota; Viridiplantae; Streptophyta; Magnoliopsida; Poales; Poaceae. The record is from RNAcentral.